Myotis lucifugus (little brown bat) is the source of this 76-nucleotide non-coding RNA. The record is from Rfam. NCBI's taxonomy places the organism in Eukaryota, Metazoa, Chordata, Mammalia, Chiroptera, Vespertilionidae.
GAGACACUUUUCUGGGGCAAGACUUGCUUCAGUGGGGCUUUGGUGCUCACUGAGUCUGCCCCCUGAGUGUGUCCCU